This 253-nucleotide ribosomal RNA is filed under the name uncultured bacterium. RNAcentral describes it as "partial 16S ribosomal RNA". It matches the Rfam family "Bacterial small subunit ribosomal RNA", at positions 524 to 776 of the family's 1533-position model. The record is from RNAcentral.
UACGUAGGGUGCGAGCGUUGUCCGGAUUUAUUGGGCGUAAAGGGCUCGUAGGCGGCCUGUCGCGUCGGGAGUGAAAGCCCACUGCUUAACGGUGGGUCUGCUUUCGGUACGGGCAGGCUAGAGUUCGGCAGGGGAGACUGGAAUUCCUGGUGUAGCGGUGAAAUGCGCAGAUAUCAGGAGGAACACCGGUGGCGAAGGCGGGUCUCUGGGCCGAUACUGACGCUGAGGAGCGAAAGCGUGGGGAGCGAACAGG